RNAcentral lists this long non-coding RNA (1671 nucleotides) under Limulus polyphemus (Atlantic horseshoe crab). RNAcentral's name for it is "uncharacterized LOC106478597, transcript variant X1". Lineage: Eukaryota; Metazoa; Arthropoda; Merostomata; Xiphosura; Limulidae. The record is from RNAcentral.
UGUAGUUUCAAUCAACAGCAGAGCAGAGAAACUUGGCGAUUUUGAAAACUAUAAACUUUAGCUAUAUAGCCAGGAUCGGACCCGUAUCAACGUAAAGCUUCGGCCAUUCAAUACAGCUCAACUAAAGGUAAAUAAAUUAUUCAAGAUGCCUUCACUUUUCGGCUAUCAUUGGCUAAACAUGAUAUCGUUUCUUUUGCUGAUUGGUGGACUGAUUUUGACACGAGCCCAGGAGAGUUCCCCUAGCAAUGAUAAAGGUUUGUACACACUUGAACCUUUUCCUCGUAUCUUGAGGCAACUACAUCCGGGAUACGGAAGAGAUCUGUCAUCCUUUCUCUACCAACUUCCAGAAAGUGACGCCAAGAGAGAAGAUUUCAAACGACCAGCAUAUCAUGUGAUGGGGUCUGAGUUUCUAGGGAAGAGGUCAGUUUCUGAGCAUGCCAAUAAAAGGAUGGGAUCCGAGUUUUUGGGCAAGAGGAUGGGAUCCGAGUUUUUGGGCAAAAGGAUGGGUUCCGAAUUUCUUGGAAAACGAAUGGGCUCGGAAUUUCUGGGUAAACGUAUGGAAGACUUUAACGAUGACUUCAAUGAAGAAGACGACACUGUAACAGAUUAUCAAGACAAACGGAUGGGAUCAGAAUUUCUUGGCAAGCGAAUGGGCUCUGAGUUUUUGGGAAAAAGAAUGGGAUCAGAAUUUCUAGGUAGAAGGAAACGAGAAAUGCAUCUUCUAAUGUCAAGGCAAAGAUCGCCGAAAGAGGACUCUUCAUUUAUAUUAUAGGUCCAGACCAACCAAAUGGAAACUCACGAAGAUUGAAACAAGAAUCCAUUCUAUUCACCAAAUCCAGACGAAUUUCUUCCACCAUCUUACUCUUCAGAGCGAGCUGAACAAAUGUUCUUUCAAGUAAUCAUAAAAGUUUCCAAAACAGUGAAGGUCUUUCAAUGAAUACAGAGGAGUUUUAAAUUUAAUCCAUAUAAAGUCAUGAAAGGUGGCCAGUGGACCCAAGGAAGAUAACACCCAUAUUUUUUGAGGCCCCGGAUAAGGGUAUUAAUUUUCUUGAGGUCAUCGAAUAAAUUAGAAGAAACUGCCGUAAUUAAGUUCGGAUUCAAAUCAAAGAAGGACAUGACAUCUAUAAAACUCUUAAUAGUCUAAAAAUGAUUAAGUUAUAUGUUUUAAUACAGGAACUUAGCUACAGGAAAUAUCAUCCAAAAACUCGUUGUUCUUUUUCAACAUGUAAAGGUAAAAUGCGUUUGGUGAUAAGUUCAAGGAAGUGGAACUAUAAUAGCUAAUUCAUAAUAAUUAAUAAAAGCUAAUAUUAAAUGUAUCAAUAUCCUUUUAAGUGAGUAAGUUAAAUGAUAUUGAAAUAGAAAGUAAAAAGUAAGACACUGUAGAAAAGUAGGUCAGGAACCAUCCUAUUAAAAUUUAUUAAAGAUAUUUAGUGAAACUGAAAUACGCGUUCUGGAUUUGUUGUUUGGGAGUAAGGAUCUAGUUUUAAUCUGGCAUUUAUCUCCUGCACGUGUGAUUUACCAAAAUCUUAGUUUCUAAACCUCGAUGUACAUGUUUACUAUAAACCACACCUCUAACAACUUUUACAGUAAUGGUAAAGUAAGUAGAAUUAACUGUUCUAAUCAGCAUUCUUCAGAUGUAAAACAAUUAGAAAUAAAAUGUGUUUCAAAGAC